Molecule: RNA transcript, 2033 nt
Organism: Myotis myotis
Lineage: Eukaryota; Metazoa; Chordata; Mammalia; Chiroptera; Vespertilionidae
Gene: PRELID3A
Gene name: PRELI domain containing 3A
Exons: 7
Source: RefSeq, a predicted model, not a curated record
CGCUGAGACCCGAGCAGCCGGCUACUCCGAGUCUGGAACCGGGAAGCCGCGCUCGGCGGCGGGUGCCGGGCGGCGAUGAGGAUCUGGAGCUCGGAGCACGUGUUCGGCCACCCAUGGGACACGGUCAUCAAGGCUGCUAUGAGGAAGUACCCGAAUCCGAUGAAUCCCUGCGUGGUGGGAGUCGAUGUGCUGGAGCGCAGUGUGGACCGCUGCGGCCGGCUGCACAGCCACCGCCUCCUCAGCACCGAGUGGGGGCUGCCCGCCCUCGUGAAAGCGAUUUUGGGAACCAGUAGGACUUUAACAUACAUCAGAGAACAUUCUGUUGUGGAUCCAGUGGAAAAGAAAAUGGAACUUUGUUCCACCAAUAUCACACUCACAAACUUCGUGUCGGUGAACGAGAGGUUGGUGUACACACCCCAUCCGAAGAACCCUGACAUGACAGUGCUCACGCAGGAAGCCAUCAUCACCGUGAAGGGGAUCAGCCUUGGCAGCUACCUGGAAGGCUUAAUGGCCAACACAAUAUCAUCCAACGCAAAGAAGGCUUGCAGCUGCCGCUGCAGGAGGCAGAGCUUACACCAUGUUGAAACCCUUCUGUGUUGCUCCAGGGGUGGGCUGCUAUUGAGUGGAUAAUUGAAAAUCCUGAAAGCGCUGUGAGCUAACGGGGCCUGCACCUGCGCCUCAUGAUGAACGGUGGUAACUACAUGUUCGUUAACCUGGUUGAGACUAGCUGCUUGCUAACCACGUGCAUGGUGUGCAGUGCGGAAGCGGUUGAUGAGCUGGAGCUGCAUGCGAGUCAGUGUCUUUUGCAGUGAGAAAACAUCACUAGAUGCCCAAAAAAUCAAAGAGGAAAUAAAGAAAGGAAGAAAGAAGCGAGCCCUGAAUAGAUUCAAGGUCCCAGUCUGGGAGAGGUGUGGAAUCUGCUGGAAUCCGCCUCCUGCCUGCUCACAGCCUCCGCCAGGCUCCUCCGUGGUGACCCCAGGACAGGAAGCUCGGCCGAGGUGCAGAAGGAGCUCCUCUGUUGCAGAGUGAGACCCAGAGGAAGAAGACCUCUCACAGGAGGAGGACAGGGGCCACGAAGCUGCCACUUCGUCAUCCUGAUUGCCGAGCAGGGUCCUGGGAGCCAGCCCUGCCCACAGCCCAGCCGCCCCCAUGCCAGCGUUUAGUCAGAUUGUUCUUGUGCCUUUGUCUAUUUUCUCCUUAGCAACAGCUCCGGGCUCUUUCUUGCCAGUUCUUGGGAAAGCACUAAAUAGCUUUUCUCUUUUCAGAUCACUGCCCGUUUCCCUCCCCUGCCUCUUAAAUAACAGUCUUCACCACCAGUCCCUUCACACAUAGCUGGUUACCAUCUGCCGUUUCAGAUGGUGUUGCCAUGGGCCCCUCUCUUCCCCUCAUCACUGCGCGAAUCUGUACACGCUAGAGCAGGGGCGUCCCUCCCCCCUCCAACAGUGAACAGUGACGUGUGGUUGACAGGACCAUGAGCUCUCCAGUCAGAGGCAGAAUUGGUCAGGAGAGCAAAGCUCUGUCCUGGGCCUGCACCUCGUCUGUCCUGCCAUCUGGGACCAGCGACCCCAAGUGCCGAAGGCCAGGGUCCCUUCUCCCCAUGCAGACCUGUCCUCAUGGAGAACCACUGCUAUCCUGUUAGCUUGACGGCACUUCCCAAAUUGGGAGUUUUCAUUUUCUCGUUUUCAAAAGUAAAAUGUACAAUCUCUUUCAAUAUCUUUCAAAUUACAAAACCUUUAGAGAAGGCCUCCUCCAUAAAGGACGGGUAGAACCUGUGUUUCACUGUUUUAUUAGGUAUUGCUUUUUGUUUGAUAAUAGUACUUCCAAUCCAACAUGAAAUUGCUCAUUUUUAUUUUAUUAGACUAUUUUAUGCAUAAAGCUUAAGGCAAAAUAGAGUUUUUAUGUCAAAAACAAACACUCUUACCCCUUCUGCACUGCAAGGUUUGCCCCUUCUAAGGGGACUCUGAACUCUUGGCUGUUUCUGCCAUUUACUGCUAGAUUUCUAAAUAAAUAGGCAUAUUCUGCUUUUUUCUUGA